GGCAAUCGCGUGUUGGUGGACAUCCCGUCCACGCCGGUCCCCAAAGACCGGCUUCCUUCCUUCCCGUUUUUCUGCGCAGCAGGAUGAAGCGUUUGCUUUGUCGCGCUUGCGCGAGGUUCUGGAUUCUGCGCCGGCGCACCCCGCGUUUCUGCUUGGAGCUCCGGUGGAGCCUCCAGAGGGCGGGGGCAUAGCUCAGUUGGCUAGAGCGGUGGCUUUGCAAGCCACAGGUCUGGGGUUCGAAUCCCCAUGCCUCCAUCCGCCCGGAGACGGGCGAGUGUUCUUUGACAGCGGGAUUGUCGGACGGACUGUGAUGAGCAGCGACGGCAAUCGACGAGAGAGGGAAGUGGAGUAGAUCAGGAUGCGCUCGUAGAGGGCGUGUCCUGCCACGAAGCGUGCAGACAUCGCGCACGGUGCGGGAGGAGGACCGGCCCCAGGCUGGAGCCUCGCCCGCGCGCCAAAGCAAAGACGAUCAAGAACACCGUCGCGAUCACCUCCUGCACGCCCCCGGCAAUGCAGUCCGGGGUCCUCCUGUCUACACAGCACGGGGAUGGUGGAUCCGCUGUGGGCGAGUUAGUCGCAAGCCCAUGCAGCGGGAGACGAGGUGGAAGAAAUACGGAAUGACCAUAUGGUCAAGCGAACAAGGGUCCAUGGGGGAUGCCUUGGAGCCAUCCGGCGAUGAAGGCCGUGGUUAGCUGCGAAAAGCUUCGGGGAGGAGCCAACAUCCUGAGAUCCGGAGAUUG
Molecule: unclassified non-coding RNA, 740 nt
Filed under: uncultured bacterium
Lineage: Bacteria
Description: partial contains 16S ribosomal RNA, 16S-23S ribosomal RNA intergenic spacer, and 23S ribosomal RNA
Rfam family: Bacterial large subunit ribosomal RNA (bases 628-740)
Source: RNAcentral